This is a long non-coding RNA of Diorhabda carinulata, 240 nucleotides long. RefSeq lists it as uncharacterized. The transcript has 2 exons. NCBI's taxonomy places the organism in Eukaryota, Metazoa, Arthropoda, Insecta, Coleoptera, Chrysomelidae. The record is from RefSeq and is a predicted model, not a curated record.
UUCACCCACGCUUAUCGAGUAACUUUUGCAGUACAUAGCAAACGCUCCAUGAGUACGCAAUUUUAAAUGUUACUUCUCACCAUAUUACUGCAAAAUCGCAUUUAGAAGUAAUUUCACCGACAACGUUACGGAUGCAAGUUUUAACGCAUCAUAUGGGGGGAAACGAAGGGGAAGCGUACAUGAUAGAGAAUCGGAUGAGCACAGUCACCCUCUAUAUAGAUAUCCAUUACAAAAAAGAAA